AUUGAACGCUGGCGGCAGGCCUAACACAUGCAAGUCGAGCGGAUGAAGGGAGCUCGCUCCUGGAUUCAGCGGCGGACGGGUGAGUAAUGCCUAGGAAUCUGCCUGGUAGUGGGGGAUAACGUCCGGAAACGGGCGCUAAUACCGCAUACGUCCUGAGGGAGAAAGUGGGGGAUCUUCGGACCUCACGCUAUCAGAUGAGCCUAGGUCGCAUUAGCUAGUUGGUGGGGUAAAGGCCUACCAAGGCGACGAUCCGUAACUGGUCUGAGAGGAUGAUCAGUCACACUGGAACUGAGACACGGUCCAGACUCCUACGGGAGGCAGCAGUGGGGAAUAUUCGACAAUGGGCGAAAGCCUGAUCCAGCCAUGCCGCGUGUGUGAAGAAGGUCUUCGGAUUGUAAAGCACUUUAAGUUGGGAGGAAGAGCAGUAAGUGAAUACCUUGCUGUUUUGACGUUACCAACAGAAUAAGCACCGGCUAACUUCGUG
RNAcentral lists this ribosomal RNA (484 nucleotides) under uncultured bacterium. RNAcentral describes it as "partial 16S ribosomal RNA". It matches the Rfam family "Bacterial small subunit ribosomal RNA", at positions 30 to 507 of the family's 1533-position model. The record is from RNAcentral.